GAGCGUGUCUAAGGUAGUGUAUAUAUAUCAGCCUUUUAAUUGAAGGCCAGUGAAUGGCAAGACUAGGAACACCUUUACUUUAUAUAUAAAAAAAACUUUUCGUCUAAGUGAAAAGACUUAGAUAACAAAGGAAGACGAAAAGACCCCGCGGAGCUUUACCUUCUCUAAUACUCCUGUUUACACACUCAAAUGUAUUAAAGGUUUGAUUGGGGCAAUCUUGGAACCAACAAAGCUUCCAACCUUUGAAAAACCUUAUACAUAAACUUGAUAAGGACCAAAAAGAAGCUACCCCGGGGAUAACAGCGUAAUCCAACUCAAGAGUACAUAUCGAAAGUUGGGUUUGCGACCUCGAUGUUGGCUUAAGGAUAUCCCCAUUAGUGCAGCCGCUAUGACAGGAUAGUCUGUUUCGACUAUUAUACCCUUACACGAGCUGAGUUAAGACCGGCGUAAGCUAGGUUGGUUUCUAUCUCCUUUACACAAACCACCUUCUUGAUUGUACGA
This 501-nucleotide ribosomal RNA is filed under the name Cristaria tenuis. Its description in RNAcentral is "partial 16S rRNA". It matches the Rfam family "Bacterial large subunit ribosomal RNA", at positions 1943 to 2686 of the family's 2925-position model. Lineage: Eukaryota; Metazoa; Mollusca; Bivalvia; Unionida; Unionidae. The record is from RNAcentral.